Non-coding RNA from Pimephales promelas (fathead minnow), 1023 nucleotides. The record is from RefSeq and is a predicted model, not a curated record. NCBI's taxonomy places the organism in Eukaryota, Metazoa, Chordata, Actinopteri, Cypriniformes, Leuciscidae.
GCUACUGCCCCAAAUGAAAUAGUGGUAUCUGACGUAGUACCUAGACGUUCAGGUCGGCAGCGUCAACCCAUUCAACGUCUUCAAUAUGCAGUGUUGGGUAAUCCAUUAAUUUCAGUUGUUCAAACUCUUUUCCAGAGCUUGUCUAAUGUUUAUACAGAGGCCUUAAGUCAAGCUGCUGCAGCAGACUCUGUCCCUAAACUGUAAUGUUUUUGCAGUCCUUAUGCAACGGGGACGUGCAUGAUUUGAGGGGGGAGGGUGUAACCCAGGUGUUUUCUGCCUUGUUUCCUCCUUCUCGCGGCUCCGCACUGCGUGCGCAUUGUCGCGAGACUUCGUGUCAGUAUCGCGAGAUUUGACACGGAGUUGCGUCAUUUUCCUUUAAAUAUGGCCGCGCGCUGUUUGGUGUGUGUGAGCCGCGAGGGAGCCGCGAGUGAGUCGCGAGUUAGUUGCGAGUGUUGAGCUGCUGCAGAUGCCUCUACUAUUCAGUUGACUGCUGUUUGAGUGACUUAAUGAUACAGGAACUGGCCAGGUUCCGUGUAUGGAUGGCGAGCCGCUAGGCCCGAACUGAUUCUGUGGAGUUUAUCCAUCUACCGGUGUGGUAGGAGGCGCUGCAGCUGCUUAAUUGAAACAUCUGCACACACCUUUGGACAUUUUUACAUCUGCACACACUUUCAGACCAUAUUUAUUGAACUGAUUUCAUGGUCCAUUCCAUUAUGGACUCAAGUGACUCCUGUUUUACAGAUUGUGUGUUGUAACUGCUGUGGCUUCAAGUACUGCCUAUUGAGUAGAGUGCUGAUUGUUGUACGCUCAUUAAUAACUUUGAACUGAAUACUACCUAGGUGCACAUGUAAAUAUUGUAUUGUUGUCUAUUGUUAAUUGUCUAUAUUUAUGUAAUACAAUUCACAACUGCACUGCAGCAAUGAGUUUGUGUGUUCAUUGAACUUCACCCUUUUCCUCUUUGAGCCGAACCAAGAUUUUCUGAUACUGGUCUACUAUUGAUAUAUCUAUAAUUGCAGCAUUUAUACA